AGAGGGAUGUGGAAGCAACAAUUGCUCCAGGAGGCCCGCUCCUGGAGAGACAGGAACCGAGCCAGCAGCCUACUAAGGCUGAUGUUAGGAGGAGCUGAUACAGCGUGGAUUCCAGGCGUCACACCUAGAGAUCCUGAUUCUAGGCCUGGUGGAGACUAGAGAAUCUGCACUUUUAAAAAGCCCCUCUCCCCUGGGCCCAGGAGUUGCAGGAAACCAGCUCAAGGCCUUCCAUCUUGUCCUGGAGAUCUGCUUUGAGUUUAGAAGUUAUGAAGGUUGACAUGGGGAGCUGGAUCAAAUAAGAUUCCUUAAGAGGAAGCUCUUUGCAACUGUCAAGUGCCAUGCAAAUGUCCGCUAUUCCUAAGCCUGGACCCACAGCUCCGUCCUGGGAGUUCAGGGUCUUUGCAUUAUGCAUGUUGCUGGCUCAACAGGCCCAGACUCCAGCUUGUUCUUUGAUGCAGACCAGGUAUCCUACUGGGUUUUGUUUGCAUCUGCUCUUCUGCCAUUUUUCUUUGAGAAAGAAGCAAUGUUGGAACAUGACGUAAGGUAUUUAUUUAUCCAAUGGCUAUGGACUGAACGUGGAGCAGAGAAAACCAAGGUGACCAUGAAUCAAGGUUCAGUUGACACUUCGCUCGUAAAGGAAGCUGUUUGUCGGUUUAAGCCCUAUGAGUUAAUUACUGGCUUCAGUUUUCGAACCAUAGGCUGAAUUGGAGUGUCUUUAAAGACUCAGGUCAUGAAAUGAACACCCUGAACUUACAUGUGGCUUUAAUUCACCAAGCUCCUCAGCUGAAAUAAACGAUUAGCCUUGGCAAUGGG
Molecule: long non-coding RNA, 813 nt
Filed under: Equus caballus (horse)
Lineage: Eukaryota; Metazoa; Chordata; Mammalia; Perissodactyla; Equidae
Description: lncRNA (ENSECAG00000051538.1)
Source: RNAcentral